Molecule: ribosomal RNA, 573 nt
Filed under: Weissella confusa
Lineage: Bacteria; Bacillati; Bacillota; Bacilli; Lactobacillales; Lactobacillaceae
Description: bacterial SSU rRNA
Rfam family: Bacterial small subunit ribosomal RNA
Source: RNAcentral
ACGCUUUGUGGUUCAACUGAUUUGAAGAGCUUGCUCAGAUAUGACGAUGGACAUUGCAAAGAGUGGCGAACGGGUGAGUAACACGUGGGAAACCUACCUCUUAGCAGGGGAUAACAUUUGGAAACAGAUGCUAAUACCGUAUAACAAUGACAACCGCAUGGUUGUUAUUUGAAAGAUGGUUCUGCUAUCACUAAGAGAUGGUCCCGCGGUGCAUUAGCUAGUUGGUAAGGUAAUGGCUUACCAAGGCGAUGAUGCAUAGCCGAGUUGAGAGACUGAUCGGCCACAAUGGGACUGAGACACGGCCCAUACUCCUACGGGAGGCAGCAGUAGGGAAUCUUCCACAAUGGGCGAAAGCCUGAUGGAGCAACGCCGCGUGUGUGAUGAAGGGUUUCGGCUCGUAAAACACUGUUGUAACAUAACAAUGACAUUGAGAGUAACUGUUCAAUGUGUGACGGUAUCUUACCAAAAAGGAACGGCUAAAUACGUGCCAGCAGCCGCGGUAAUACGUAUGUUCCAAGCGUUAUCCGGAUUUAUUGUGCGUAAAGCGAGCGCAGACGGUUAUUUAACUCUGAG